Molecule: long non-coding RNA, 200 nt
Filed under: Trifolium pratense (red clover)
Lineage: Eukaryota; Viridiplantae; Streptophyta; Magnoliopsida; Fabales; Fabaceae
Description: long non-coding RNA (TPRA_LNC013793)
Source: RNAcentral
AAAAAUGCUAAAAAAUUUCUUAGUAGGAAUCAAACCCUUAACCUUUUAGUUACAAUUCUUAUUAGAUUUACCACUAAGCCAUAUGAAUUAAUUUGUUAUAUUUUUGGAACCAACAUAUAAUCAACAUGAGUUAAGUUAAAAGAAGAAAGGGGAAGUGUUUAUUUAUUUUUUCUUUUUUAUAAUAAGAGAGUAAAAUUCAU